GAUCCUGGCUCAGGAUGAACGCUAGCUACAGGCUUAACACAUGCAAGUCGAGGGGAAACGAUAUUGGAAGCUUGCUUCCGAUAGGCGUCGACCGGCGCACGGGUGAGUAACGCGUAUCCAACCUGCCCAUCACUUGGGAAUAACCUUGCGAAAGUAAGACUAAUGCCCAAUGACAUUUAUAGAAGGCAUCUGAAAUAGAAUUAAAGAAUUUAUUCGGUGAUGGAUGGGGAGUGCGU
RNAcentral lists this ribosomal RNA (236 nucleotides) under uncultured bacterium. RNAcentral describes it as "partial 16S ribosomal RNA". It matches the Rfam family "Bacterial small subunit ribosomal RNA", at positions 15 to 236 of the family's 1533-position model. The record is from RNAcentral.